RNAcentral lists this ribosomal RNA (253 nucleotides) under uncultured bacterium. RNAcentral describes it as "partial 16S ribosomal RNA". It matches the Rfam family "Bacterial small subunit ribosomal RNA", at positions 524 to 776 of the family's 1533-position model. The record is from RNAcentral.
UACGUAGGGUGCAAGCGUUGUCCGGAAUUAUUGGGCGUAAAGAGCUCGUAGGCGGUCUGUCGCGUCGGAUGUGAAAACCCAGGGCUCAACCCUGGGCCUGCAUUCGAUACGGGCAGACUAGAGUUCGGUAGGGGAGACUGGAAUUCCUGGUGUAGCGGUGAAAUGCGCAGAUAUCAGGAAGAACAUCGGUGGCGAAGGCGGGUCUCUGGGCCGAAACUGACGCUGAGGAGCGAAAGCGUGGGGAGCAAACAGG